This 80-nucleotide ribosomal RNA is filed under the name Vibrio anguillarum serovar O9. Its description in RNAcentral is "partial 16S ribosomal RNA". The record is from RNAcentral. Lineage: Bacteria; Pseudomonadati; Pseudomonadota; Gammaproteobacteria; Vibrionales; Vibrionaceae.
AAGGCCUUCGGGUUGUNAAGUNCUUUCAGUCGUGAGGAAGGUUUUUGCGUUAAUAGCGCAGGGAUUUGACGUUAGCGACA